RNAcentral lists this transfer RNA (83 nucleotides) under Nanoarchaeales archaeon. RNAcentral describes it as "tRNA-Leu". It matches the Rfam family "tRNA". From Rfam's summary of the family: Transfer RNA (tRNA) molecules are approximately 80 nucleotides in length. Lineage: Archaea; Nanobdellati; Nanobdellota; Candidatus Nanoarchaeia; Nanoarchaeales. The record is from RNAcentral.
GCAGGGGUCGCCCAGUCUGGUCAAAGGCGCUGGAUUUAGGCUCCAGUCUGUUUAGUUCGUGGGUUCGAAUCCCAUCCCUUGCA